This 10868-nucleotide long non-coding RNA is filed under the name Salvia miltiorrhiza (redroot sage). Its description in RNAcentral is "long non-coding RNA (SMIL_LNC008456)". The record is from RNAcentral. Lineage: Eukaryota; Viridiplantae; Streptophyta; Magnoliopsida; Lamiales; Lamiaceae.
AACAAAUAAUUAAAAGAGUUAGUUGGUUCUUAAUUACCUCAACUUGAUUGCACCUGACAGCCAGAUGCAAGAGUGUCUCCCCAUCAUCAUCCUUUGCAUACACAAGCUCUCCCAAUUUCUCCACCAAAACCUUCAAUGUCACAAGCUGACCGUGCUUCACACAAAGGUGCAACACAGUCUGGCCGCGAUGCAGUCUCUCCAUAGCAGGUAUAUGACUCUCUUCAAGCAGCUCCUUCAACACCCCAUCAUGCCCUUUCAUGGCUGCGAUAUGAACCGGGUUCAUGCCUUGAUCAUCAAUCCUCCAACACAUCUCAGGGGCUACUGAUAACAACUUCUUGGCGAUCUCGACAUUCCCUUGUGCUGCUGCAAUGUGAAGAGAUGAUGAAUUUUUGGAGUCAACAUCUCGAGCUAGCUCUGAGUUCAUCCUCAACACCUCUUCCACGAUGCCCAUUUGCCCACUCAUUGUUGCUAUAUGUAGAAGCUUUCUUGAACUUGCAAAUGAAACUUCAUCAACAAGAUGUGGAUCUUCUUGCAGCAGUUGUUGGAAUGUUGAUAAAUCUCCCUUUCUUGCAGCAUCGUAUAGUUUCUUUUCUGCUGUUGCUUCUCCAACCAUUUUUUCCAAUUCUAUUAAUGGAGUUUUCAGAUUUUCCUUUUUCGCCUCUUUUUUUAUAGGAAAAUGCUGAAUGCACAUAAUAUGUACGCACAUAAUUGGAUAUUUUUGUCAUUUUAUAAAUCUCCAUAAAUUAUGGAGUUAAUACAAUUUCAAUUGAAUUUCUAAUUUACGUAAUCAUCCUUUGAGAUAAUUAAGGAAUGUACAAUUCAAAUUUCAAUCUUAUAUCUUUCCUUAAUAAUAAAUUACUUAUUUCCUUAAAUUAAAUUAUGAAUCAAUUUUCAUUAUACAACUUUAUUUAUCAAUGAUUUACAUCCUAUAAAUUAGCUCAAACUCAACUAGAAGAAUCAAGUAAUUAAAAUUGCAGUCAAAUUAUUGUUUCAUAUUCUUAUUUAAUUAGUUAUAUUUAAUUAGUUAGUUAUUUUUCUUCAAUAACGUUACAUGACUAAUUAAUGAUUUAAUAUGUAUUGAUGAAAAAAUUGAUGAACUCAUCAACUUAACAUUCUAAAUUCAUAUAUUAUAUAGAUUUAAAUUCAAAUUUAUUAUUAUAAUUAUUAUUUUGAAAUAUAAGAAUAAUUAUGUUGAAUGUUAUGCUACGGAUACCGCUAUUGGGUAAUGUAGCAAAGGAUUAGAGUGAUGUUUGAGAGGUAACAUGUUUGAAUCCGUUAGUGAUAAGUUCCAGUUUAUAGCUCAUUAUUAGUGUCUUUCUUUUAUUUUAUUUUUCUUUUGUUGCUAUUUUAAUUUAUGUUUUAUUUUUUUGUUGAAAUUAGAAUUAAAAAAAUAUAAAUAUAAAUAGAUGACUAUAAUAAAUCCCUAAGCAAACUCAAAUCGGACUCGCUACAUCGAGCCGGACCGACUCAAUAGACAUAUGCGGUGAGGUUCGGGUAUGAUUUUUCGGACCGAAAAAUAUUUGGGUCGGUCCACGUCUUAACCCACUCCAACUCGUCGAACCUGGACCGACUCGUAUCUUUUAUAAAAUAAUUAUUUAAUUUAUAUAUUUCUAAUAAUAUUAAGAAAUAAAUUAAAUUUUAUCUAAUAUAAUAACUUAUCUAAUAUCUGUAAGUAAAUUAAGUAAUCUGUGUAGUUUUGUACCGACCCGUACCUUUAACAUUUCUUUUUAUGAACUUGUUGUGCUUGAAUUAUUAUGUAAUGGAUUGAUUUUAAUUUAUGUAUUUUUGUUGUAAUUGUGGAUUGAGAAUAUUUGAGACUAAGAUAUGUGUUUGUAUGGAAUUUUUUUAAGUUUUAAAUCUGAAAAUUGAGUGUAAAAUAGGAAAAAUAAAAAUUUGAAAUUUCAGCAGGUCGGACCCGGACCAAUCUGGACCCGAUAUUCGGGUUCGGUGCGGUCCUGGGUGGUCAGUCCUCCCUUACGAUUCGGUUCGAGUCGGUCUACGAUUUGAAAAUUUUCGGAUCGUUGGUCCCGACGAGUGGGUCCGAUUCGAUGCUAUUAUUUGAUUAUUAUGACAUUAUAAAAUAGAAGUGAAUUACUAUAUCUGAGAAACAAAUAUGAUAAGUUGACCACAUUGCUGAAAUAAGAUUUUAUUAAAAAGAAAAGAAACAACAACGGAGAACCAAAAACCCUUGAAAGCACAAAGCUGCAGACUAAGGGCCGAGCCUCGUUAAAACCUCAUAACAGCUGAGGAAAAAGAGUACUCGUCAAGGACCAAGGUUGACAGAGCUGAGUUAGGAGGUCUCAAGGAUUCCGGCCGAACCAUUACCCUUAGGCCUCCCGGCUCACAACCAAUCCAGGACCGAGAGAACAAAACCAAAAAAUCAAGCGAAACGAGUAAAAUAGGGAAUAGAAACAUCAUCCUUGACAAAAUCAUUUAAACCAGCAAUGGCAUGAGGCCAAAAACCCUCCUCCGAAGCUUGAGAAGCCAAAAAAUCCGCCGAUCUGUUGCCCUCACGAAAAAUGUGAGAAAUGCGCCACGUGAAAGUAUGGAGUUUGGAGAGAGCAAGCUGCCACCGAGGCUUGAAUCUCCAAGGAACCGUCUCAGAGAGCGACUGAAGAAGCUGAACCACGUAAGAAGAAUCCGACUCAAACCAAACUCUCUCCCAUUUAGCGCGAUGCGCAGAUUCAAUAGCAAUAAUAAUAGCUAAAAGCUCUGCUUCGAACGCAACCCCGUGGCCGCCUGAAAAAUGAUAACAACCAAGAACGUCAUUGAAGGCAUUCCUAAAGACACCCCCCGCAUGAAUCCUCCCUUCACGGACCGAACCAUCAGUAUUAACUUUAAUCCAAGACGGCGGGGGAAGGUGCCAAGCAACGUAAAUAUAGGAGAAAGGCUUCCUGGGUUGUCCAGCGAUGGAAAGAUUCUUAAGAAUGAGAAGAUCAGAAACCGAGUUGGCCAUAGUGCCAAGGACGAAAUUGUUGGCAGCUUCACAAAGAAAAACUCGGACCUGCUUGAGAAUCAAGUGGCGCGAAGGUGUUAAAUUUUUGUGUAUGACAUUGUUGCGGUGAGACCAGAGACUCCAUAGGAGAGAGACCACCCCAACUUUCCACAAAUUGCCAACUUGUUUGCUGUUUUUCUGAUGGAUAGAGAAUCGAAUCAUGCUGCCCACGUCCCACGGCAAAGUUUGCUCAAUCAAAAACCAUCGAAAGACAUCCGCCCAAAUAGAAGCCGAGAAGGAGCAGUUCAACAGAACAUGAUCCAUCGUCUCUUCCGCUGCCGAGCAUAAAGGGCAGCGGUUCGGCCCCUGAAAACCAAGGAGGCGAUUCAUAUCAAAGGUAGGGAGCUUGCCAACAAUAGUGCGCCAGACAAAGAGAGAUCGCCGAGCGGGGAUAAAAGGGGCCCAAAUCCAGGAGCCCCAGUCGACCUUAGGGAACUGAGGUCGUAUGUGAGCAAAGGCCGAAGCAGCAGUAAUGUUCCCGAAACCCGAGUGAAUCCAGGAUCUGUCGUCCGCCAAUCCAGGAAUGGGGGUAGAUAUGAUGUCGAGAGCAAUGCGCGGGAAAGACUGUAUAAAACUAUAAGUGAGGUGCCACUUAUUAUUAAAGUAGAAGUCAGAAAUCUUCUGAGAGAAAUAGGGAGUCAUGAACUCCGGAAUAUGAAGUUUGUCGAUCAGCCGAUAUCCGAGCCAAUUAUCUCUCCAAAAAUAAAUUGUAUCUCCAUUGCCAAUCGUGCAGAAGGUAUCCGAAACAAUCUCCCGAAUCGUCCUUAUAACACCAGUCCAAAUCGACGAACUCGCCCAUUGGGAAGCCCAAUCCAUGGUCUGAGUGAGAUAUUUCUGACGAAGCAGCCGAUAGCCGAAGCUGUUCAUGUUCAUAAUAUACCAACCCAGCCGAAACAUGAAACUAUUAUUGAUGUCAGAGAAAGAUUUGACUCCAAUGCCGCCAUGUUCCUUCAGAGCACGAGCUCUGAUCCAACUCACGGAAAAGAGGGUUUCUUCAUAGUACUCCCAGUCCAGAUGAACGAUCUACAAGCUCUGUCAAGAGCAUGCAGAAGUUUCACCGGCCAUUUAUAAACAGCAUGCUAUGUACCGCAGCACUGUUGAUAACAGAAGAACUAGGCAGAGCCUGCCCGCCAUAGAGAGUUGACCACCUUGCCACCUAGGGAAAUGGGCAAGAAUCCGAUCAUAGAUAGGUCGAAGCUUAGCAGAAGAAGCUCGACCCGAGAAAAUAGGCACUCCCAAGUAUGUGAAAGGCAUGGAGCCAAUGUUGAAGUCCAAAAUCCGUUGAAGCCGAGAACGUCGCCCAGGAGACACCCCUUUCCCGAAGUAAAGAGUAGACUUAUGCUUGUUGCAAUAUUGACCAGAGACCGUGGCAUAUUUUUCAAGGUGAGAUCAACGAAGUUAAUUUGUGAGGAUCGAGCAACUUGUGUGAUCAAUGAAGUUUGUGAAAUUUAAUCCAUAUAGAAUUUUAAUUAUGUCUAUUUGCAAUUGUAGAAGAUGUCAAUGCUAAUUGACAUGUGAAAUAUGUUAAUUUUAAUCCAUAAAUAUGUUAAUUGCCUUUAUAGAUUGACAUGUGAAAUGAAGAAAUUCGUUUAUUGAGGACAUGGAUAUUCGAGAGCCAAUGAUUUGUAGGAUUCAAACAUUAUAAUUUACUUGUUCUAAAUAUAUUGUGAUAUGUAUGAUGAAUUUUAUACGUUGGAUGAUUAAUUAAAAUGUAUAAGCGUUUUAGUGGGCAUCUUCAAUACGUGUGCGUAUGUUGUUUUAUAAAAUACGAAAAUAGGAGCCGGUGGUUUCGGAUAAGCAGAAUAAUCUUUUGGUUCGUAUUCCUGAUGAGAGUGAGAUUGUUGCUGCUGUGUUUGGUAUGGAUGUUAAUAGUGCUCCUGGAUCGGAUGGGUUUCCGGGAAUGUUUUUUCAAAGGGUUAAUAUAGCCAAAAAAUACACGAACUAUCACCAAAUUUGCAAUUUGCACAUGACCUUCAAAAAUAGCCUCAGAAUACAUCACAUUUUAAUUUUGUUAUAAUUUGCACAUGCGUUGACCAUCACCUUAAGUGUAGUUGACGUGGCAGCCGGAAAUUGCAGACGUGGACUAACCGACGGGCAUGUAAAACGACGUCGUUUUGUCAAGCUUUUUAAAUUAAAAAAANAAGGUGGGUCCAUUAGUGGCAAAUGGUAGUAAAUAUAGAAAAAGAAAAAGAGUAAAAGUGUACAAAAAGCACAAUAGGGCAUUAAAUUGUGGACAAAUUUUUAAAGGCAAGUAGGGCAUUAAAUUGUGGACGGAGGGAGUAUUUAUUAUGGUUUUCAAUUAUAUUAAUUAUUGGUUAUUUGAUUGGAUAAUAUUGAUUGGAUAAUGUAAUUUAUAAUUUUAAUCUUUUACUUCAAUUUAUUUACAAAAUUUAAUGACAAUUCUAAUCUUCUAAUUAAAUUUAUUUACACUCUUCUUAUUUUUAUAGUAUAUAUAGUAACAUUUCUUUUUUAUUAUUAUUUAAUGAAUAACUUAAAUGAUUGCAGACAUUCGAAACAUGAUAAGUCUUAUUAGCUAGAUAGCCAUAUGUAGCUAAUUUAUCUACGCGAGAUCUUAAUGGUGGCGAGAGAACCUUCUUAUUAGUGUAAACCAUGCUUAUAGGGAGGCCAACUUGGCGGCGCAUAGUCUGGCUAAGUUCUCGAGGGAUUGUGGGGAGUCCGUUUUUUGGACAAGAGAUUUCCCUAGAUGGUUGAGGGACAUUGUAGACAAUGAUUUGAAGUAAUUUAAUCUUAUUCUUCCGUUUUCAAAAAAAAAAAGAAAAAAGAUAGCCAUAUGUAGCUAAUUUAUCGGGACCAAUUCCUCUACCUUUUUGGGUAGAGUAGAAUUAUGCAAUCUAAAGAAUAUAAUAUGGUUGUUACAGUGCCUAAAAAAACAAAAAAAUAUGGUUGUUACAGGAAUUUUAGUGUUAGAAAAGUAGUCACAUGAUGAAAAAGGGUGAAACUAUAUUCAAAAUAUUUCUUGUCGUUUAUCGUUGUCUAAGACAUAGUAAUCUAGACAUGAUCAACUAGGUACGUACGAUUCAAUCUAUAUGUUUUUUUAAUGUAUAUUUGUCACGUAGGUAUGCAUUCAAAAUAACAGGAGUACUGUUUUGAGAGACAUAUUUGUGUAAAUAUAGUUGUUAAUUAGUGCAGAGUAGACAUUAGCCAUUGAAAAAUAAGACCAUUAUGCAUAAAAUUUAGUAUAUUUUAUCAUCACGUGCAGCUCGAUCGAUUAGCUAGACUGGUAUUUAUUAGUCGAUUCAAUUAUAAAAUAAUCAAGAAACAUAAUUUAAAGUGGUUUCACAUUGUUAAUUAGUGUUAGAAAUGGAUAUUGGGUCCAUUCCUCCCUUAAAAGGCCUUAUAAGGCAGAGGGUUGCCUCACCAUAUAAAGUGGUUCAUGCCACUGCGCAGCGUGUACUAUCCCAAAUGCCAUCUGUUGACAACGAUAUUGGAGAGGGCCCAUCAUUNCACGCGCAGCGUGUACUAUCCCAAAUGCCAUCUGUUGACAACGAUAUUGGAGAGGGCCCAUCAUUGAAUUGGGUUGGCUUUGAUACCAUGUUAGAAAUAUGGAUAUUUGGCUCAUUCCUCCCUUAAAAGGCCUUAUAAGGGAGAGGGUUGCCUCACCAUAUAAAGUGGCUCAUGCUCCAAUCCAAUGUGGGACACUUUAAUAGAAUCGUUAGAUCAUAUGUAACUACUCUUUAAACGUAUAUGCAUGGAAAUCCGAAUAUUGUAGAGCAAAUUUUGAGAAAUUAGACUCCCAAUAAACCAUCGUGGCAUCGCCUGUUCACAUAUAGAGUGGCACCCAUUCUCGAAACCACUUUUUAAGACCACAAUUUAUAUGUAUAAAAUCACUUUAAACCACUUCUAAAUUAUCGAAAAUGUUUUUUUUUAAAUCUUGGAACUAUCGAUUUUAUAUCAAUUGCACAUUUCGUCCAUUUUCACUCUGAAUUUUCAUCAUUUGCACCUUUUCAACUAUUUUCAAUCUUUGAAUUAGUAAGGCAUAUAAGCAACGUUUUGUACAAUGUAAGUUAAAAAAAGGUAACAAUAAUAAUUCUAUGUACAUUGUAGUAUCCGGCGAGCACGCGUUUCUUCAUACAAAAGUUUCUUCAUACAUUAUCAAAGUUAACAACAGUCGAUCAUCGUUUUGAGCACCCACCCAGAUCUGCCGUUCCAAGCACGCGAGCCACCGUCGCCCCACGCCACCCACCACCCAAACAUGGUUUUCGUACCUCAAUAUCGCAUGAAUUGUUGUCUUUUUCCCCCUUGAAUUGAUUGCUAAUAUGUGUUUGUAUCCCAAUUUAAAGUUUUGUGAAGUUUUGAUUUCUUGGUGUAGUUUUGGAGUGAUUUCAGAAAAAAUAAAGGAUUAAUUGGAGGAUUUUGAAGACAUGAAAUUUAAGUACGUCUCGAGAGGAAUCCGUGAGCGCAAACGGCGACCAAAUCCGAGUUCGGACGAGGGAGAACGGAGCCGAACAAGCGGACUGCGCAUAAAGCCCAGGACCCCGCGGUCCGGGCCGCGGCCACGGGCCCGACCGCGGGCCUCUGCUCCAGAGCAGUCCAGAACGUUUUUUUACAGUCACCCGCGGUCCGAGCCGCGGCCGCGGCCCAUGACCGCGGCCUCCCCUGCUUCCAGCCGCGUUUUCAGCCGCGGUUCAUGCCGUGACCGCGGGGAAGAGGCGGGGAUCCGCCUUUUGGUGGGCCCAGACGUGAUUUUUAGCCCAAAACUCCAUUUUUUCCCCUCUUUUCUCAUAUCAUUCACCACACACACCCACUUCAUCUUCCCCAACAUCUCCAAUCCCAAACCCUAGCCUCCAUUCUCUACCAUUUUUUCUCUCUUCCACACACAAAAACAACACCAAAAUCAAAUAAAGAAGGGGAAGACUUGGAAAGGAGCUCAUCAAGACUACAUGAUUGAAGAUCAAGAUUAUAGGAUUUGUCUAUGAAUCUCUAUCUCUCUAUAUCUUUAUUUAUGUUUUCUUAUGACUUGAGAUUUGUUUUUAUUAUGAAUAUGCUUGGCUAAAAUCUUUUAUCUUAGGGAUUAGAUUAGAUGGAUUUGUAAUGGAUUGAUUUCUUUGUUCAAUAUAUAUCUUGAUUGUGCUUAUUGUUAUCUUUUCAAGUCCUAGAUUUAUCUCUUGUAUGAUUGGUUGGCCACCUUUUGUGCAUUUCUAAUUUGUGAUUUGAAUCGGGAGAGGAUAAUUACAAUAGAUUAGGAGUUUGAUACAUAUCAUCUCAAUAAACCGGGAGGUUGAGAGGUGGGUGAGGGCUUGUUGAUCUUUUGUGCUCUUGGGAGUUAUAGGUUAGAAAUUGACCGGGGACGGCAAUUAUGACCCGUAAUCUACUGUUUUAGUCGUCCGGGAGGGGGCUAGAACUAGUGGGGAGAUCGCCCUAGAUAAGUAGGCCAUAUCAAGAUUAAUAUUCCUUUAGAUUGAAGUUCAUUACGAUCCAUCGAAAUCUAGUCCCUAGGAUAACUUUCCUUCGAGUCAUUCCCCAAUUUAUUAACUAAGUUUAUCUUGUUGUUAUUUUAUUUAUUUGCUUAUUUAGCUUUGUUUUAGUUCUCAAUAUCUCUUCAUCUUUGGUUGUCUAAAUAGAUUGAAAACAACUUAUUAAUAGUAUUUAGAAGUUUAAAUUCACCAAUCCUUGUGGAAUACGACCUUGCUUCCCUUAUAUUGCAACUACACCGUAUACUUGCGGCGUGGUGAAAAUAAUAGCGAACACGUAGGCAGUUUGGCCGAACCACGUUAAAUAUCGGUGUCAUUAUUUUUCCCGUCUUAGAUAAUUUAUAUCUUUGAUAUUGCUUUCGAUUUGAUAAUGGGCGGAAUUAUUUGUGUAUAUUUCCCAACAGGAACGCCAUCGUGGCGAUCAGCACCACCACCACCAUCGUCAUGUCGUUUAUCUUGAGAUGGGAUUUCAGCGAUCGCUGCUUGAUUAGCAAACUUUGUAAGAUCCUUUUCAUCUCUGAAUUGGUGGUUGUGGGUGGAGAGCACUCUUUCGAGAUAUCCAGCGCCGUUUUGCCCAUGGAAUUUGGUGUUAGCUUCUCUAUUUUAUUGCUUUCAACCAAAUAUUGUACCAUCUGAGAUUUGGAAUCAUCCUCAUCAAUGUAUUAGUCGACCUAGCGUUAUCAAUCGAUUGCACUUUCAUAAUUUAUGAGGGGUAAAAUACGUAUUUUAAGAUAUUAUUAAAGAUAAAAAUUACUCCCUUCUUCGUCCCAAUAAUAACGUUCCCAAAAAAAUGGGUCCCAAAAAAAUGAGACACACAAAUUAAAAAAUAUAGAUAAAGUAAUUAGGAGAGACUGUAGUGGAAAAGUAAUAGAGAGAUAAAGUAAAUGAGAAGAUAGAUAAAGAUAGUAGAUAAAAUAAAUUAUUUUCUUUUUUGGAUUGAGACAUAUUAUAAGUGGAACGUCCAAAAAGAAUAUUUGGGACGUUAUUAUUGAGACAAAAGGAGUAGUUAUUAAUAUAAUAAAAAUAAAAGAUAAUUACUCUUUUUAUUUUAUUCUUCAAUUCAUAACCAAAAAUAGGUUUAUAUAUUUAUGAAUUGUUCUUUAAAAAUGAUAGUUUCCAACCAAGAAUAUAUAGAUUUAAUUGUGAAUUGCCUUAUUUAAAGGGUAAUUCAACCAAACUUAUUCUUUGUGAAUUAUCCUAUACAUAUAUUUAAGGGGAAAUUGACAAUAAAGAAGAAUAGAUUUGGUCGUGAAUUACUUUAUUUAAAGGGCAAUUCACAACCAAAAUAAGUUUGAUCUUUAAUCUAGUUUUUAAUUUGUAAAUAAAGGACAAAGAAAAAUACAUUUUUAAUUUUUUUUAUAUCUUUACUAUAUGUAAAAUGGUUAUUUUCAUACAUUAACUCUAUUAUUUAUUAUGUUGACUUUGUUUCACAAGCAAUGUACAACAUGCAGUAUAUUUUGUUUUUUCUUCAGAGUUGGUAUAAGUCACCGUUGCCCCAUAUUUUUAAGAACAUAUAUAUAAGACCACGCUUGCUCUUUUUACAUAAUUCCAGCAACAAAUAGGAGAAACACAUAAUUUUUCAAUCAUGUAGAUUUCAAUAAGAUCGUCCCAACCUAAGCCUAUUGAGCCAUAACAUAUCAUAAUGCUGAAUACCGAUAUCAAAUUCAACAAAUAAAAGAGUUAGUUGAAUGGUUCAUACAUACCACAAGUUGAUUGCACCUAACAGCCAAAUGCAAGAGUGUCUCGCCAUCGUCAUCCUUUGCAUACACAAGCUCUCCCAAUUUCUCCACCAAAACCUUCAAUGUCGUAAGCUGGCCGUGUUUCACGCACAGGUGCAACACAGUCUGCCCGCGAUGCAGUCUCUCCAUAGCAGGUAUAUGACUCACUUCAAGCAGCACCUUCAACGCCUCCUCAUGCCCAUUCAUGGCUGCAACAUGAAUCGGGUUCAUAUCAUGACAGUCUCGCCACCAGCACGCCUCCGGAGCUACUGAUAACAAUUUUUUGGCGAUUUCAGCAUGCCCUUGUGCAGCUGCGAUGUGGAGAGACGACGACUUUUUGGAGUCAACGUCUCGAGCUAGCUCUGAGUUCAUCUUCAACAGCUCUUCCACGAUGCCCACUUGUCCACGCAUCGUUGCUAUAUGUAGAAGGUUUCUUGAACGUGCGUAUGAAACCUCAUCAACAAGAUGUGGAUCUUGUUGCAGCAGCACUUGGAAAGUUGCGACAUCUCCCUUUGUUGCAGCAUCGUAUAGUUUCUUUUCUGCUGCUGCUUCUCCAACCAUUCUUUCCAACUUUAUUAAUGGCGUUCUCAGAUUUUUCCUUUUUCGCCUCUUUUUUACAUACAAGUUAAUUUGUGAUUUGCGAACUCAUGCAUAGUAUAUGAUAUAUAUAUGUAUAUUCACACACACACACGCAUUAAAAUAAGACUCGCUAUAAAAAUGUUU